UGCUUUAUGGCUCAGUCAGUAGAGCAGGAGACUAUUAAUCUCAAGUGUGUGGGUUUGAAUCUCACAUUGGGCAA
Podarcis lilfordi (Lilford's wall lizard) is the source of this 74-nucleotide non-coding RNA. Lineage: Eukaryota; Metazoa; Chordata; Lepidosauria; Squamata; Lacertidae. The record is from the annotation of a GenBank genome assembly.